This 374-nucleotide ribosomal RNA is filed under the name uncultured eukaryote. RNAcentral describes it as "partial 18S ribosomal RNA". It matches the Rfam family "Eukaryotic small subunit ribosomal RNA", at positions 592 to 976 of the family's 1831-position model. The record is from RNAcentral.
CAAGAGCGUAUGUAAAAGUUGUUGCAGUUAAAAAGCUCGUAGUUGAACCUUGUGUUUGGUUGGCCGGUCCGCUUUUUUGCGAGUACUGGAUUCAACCGAGCCUUUCCUUCUGGCUAACCAGUCGUUUCGGCGGCUGGCGAACCAGGAUUUUUACUUUGAGAAAAUUAGAGUGUUCAAAGCAGGCAUUAGCUUGAAUAUAUUAGCAUGGAAUAAUAGAAUAGGACGUUAUGGUUCUAUUUUGUUGGUUUCUAGGACCAUCGUAAUGAUUAAUAGGGACGGUCGGGGGCAUCAGUAUUCAGUUGUCAGAGGUGAAAUUCUUGGAUUUACUGAAGACUAACUACUGCGAAAGCAUUUGCCAAGGACGUUUUCAUUAA